ACUAUUUUGACAGAUAAGUGUAUUAGAUUUAGAAUCUAAAAAUGGGGAUAUGUUACCUCAGAUAGUA
This 67-nucleotide transfer RNA is filed under the name Lepisma saccharinum. Its description in RNAcentral is "Lepisma saccharina tRNA-Leu". It matches the Rfam family "tRNA". From Rfam's summary of the family: Transfer RNA (tRNA) molecules are approximately 80 nucleotides in length. Lineage: Eukaryota; Metazoa; Arthropoda; Insecta; Zygentoma; Lepismatidae. The record is from RNAcentral.